RNAcentral lists this transfer RNA (87 nucleotides) under Gemmatimonadota bacterium. RNAcentral's name for it is "tRNA-Ser". It matches the Rfam family "tRNA". Rfam says of the family: Transfer RNA (tRNA) molecules are approximately 80 nucleotides in length. RNAcentral also lists the same sequence under 2 other names. Lineage: Bacteria; Pseudomonadati; Gemmatimonadota. The record is from RNAcentral.
GGUGGGGUGGCAGAGUGGUCGAACGCGCCUGACUUGAAAUCCGGUAUGCCUGCAAGGGCAUCGUGGGUUCGAAUCCCACCCCCACCG